This 433-nucleotide ribosomal RNA is filed under the name uncultured bacterium. RNAcentral describes it as "partial 16S ribosomal RNA". It matches the Rfam family "Bacterial small subunit ribosomal RNA", at positions 29 to 507 of the family's 1533-position model. The record is from RNAcentral.
AACGAACGCUGGCGGCAGGCCUAACACAUGCAAGUCGAGCGAGCAUUUCGGUGCUAGCGGCGGACGGGUGAGUAACGCGUGGGAACGUGCCCUUUUCUGCGGAAUAGUCCUGGGAAACUGGGGGUAAUACCGCAUACGCCCUUUUGGGGAAAGAUUUAUCGGAGAAGGAUCGGCCCGCGUUGGAUUAGGUAGUUGGUGGGGUAAUGGCCCACCAAGCCGACGAUCCAUAGCUGGUUUGAGAGGAUGAUCAGCCACACUGGGACUGAGACACGGCCCAGACUCCUACGGGAGGCAGCAGUGGGGAAUCUUAGACAAUGGGGGCAACCCUGAUCUAGCCAUGCCGCGUGAGUAAUGAAGGCCUUAGGGUUGUAAAGCUCUUUCAGCUGGGAAGAUAAUGACGGUACCAGCAGAAGAAGCCCCGGCUAACUCCGUG